Long non-coding RNA from Ahaetulla prasina, 3489 nucleotides. RefSeq lists it as uncharacterized. The transcript has 3 exons. The record is from RefSeq and is a predicted model, not a curated record. NCBI's taxonomy places the organism in Eukaryota, Metazoa, Chordata, Lepidosauria, Squamata, Colubridae.
GAAAAAAAAUAGUAGACAGAUGAAAGAUAAUCCAGGAAAAAAAGUUUUUGUCCGUUACAUCAAAUGAUUUUUUCGGUACCAUAAAUCUUCAUACAAUUUAUGAAAGGGUUAGGGUUUUGUAUUUUUUUCAUGGCGAGAAAUAACAUUUGUAUAAUACAAAUUGUAAUAAAUUUAAAAUGAUCAGAAUAGCAAGUAACUUCUCACUGAAAUUAUUGUUUUGGAAUCUCUCACUUACUAAGCUAAGUCCAAAGUAUUGCUCUUGGAGUAAUAAUAUGUUCUUUGAAAUCUGCCAGACUUGCCAAUUUUUUUUAAAUUCUUUUAAUUAAAAAAAUGAAUGGAAAGCAUGUUGCAAAGCAAAGUAUCAGCCUCAAACAUAACUUGUAUUGUCAUAAUUUCUCUGAGUAUUUGAAGACAUCCUUAGGGGAAAAAGUGUGUGUAUGUACAUACAUCAAUACAUACAAAUGUAUAUAUCCACCAGUAAUAAUAAAGCAUUCAAUUUAUCUUCUUUGCAAAGAACCAAAAUAUCAUGAAAUUAUUUUAUGACAGUACCUAUGACAUGUUCUCAGCAUUCCAAAUAUGCUCACUUGCCAUUAAAUAUGAAAAUAGGGGAAGAGGGAUAUAUACCCAAAGUAUAAAUGAUAGUUUACAAAUUACAAUACAAUUACAAUUUGUGGACAAAAUAAAUUAGGCCAAAAUAUAUACCUGGGUUCACAUACAGUGUUAAGCCAAUUAACUUGAUUUACUAAGGAAUCCACAAAUGAUCGAGUACACAAAGUACACUAAGCCAUAAAGUAUGUGUUAUAGACUCAUGGAUUCACGCAACAUAAUAAAUCAAAUAAAUCUAUUAUUAGUUCAGCACAUGAACUAGGUCAAAGAAAAAUGCUUAUAUAGUUCUCCUGCUUAUCUUUUUCUGAGUUUUGAAAACUAUUCAAAAAAGAAAUAGAUACUGCUAAUGGUACAAUUAGAAUCACAUCAUGACUUCUUAAUACAGGAAAGUUCCAUCUCAGUUCAAGCACAAAACUCUUGCGCUUUUCUUGAAAUGUAAUACUAUGUUAUAAAAAUCAAACUAUACUGAACAAUACGAGACAAUCAAGGCAUUCCUCAGUUUCUUAGAUGAAAGGCAGAUUCUGUGACUAGAUUUUUACUGGUAACAAAUACUCUAGACUAUGGAAGGAUAUAAAAAUUGGUGUGUGCGCACAGAUAAGACAAUGACUCAGAUUACUAAUUCAUUCACCAUGCUAGGCUUACUAUGAAUCCAUCAGAGCAAAAGGACUCAUUCUUGUUGAGUCAAAAACAAAUACACAAAUCACAUUACAUUGUCUGGACCAGCAUCGUACCUAGACUGAAUUCUUUAUCCAAACAAUAGUCGUCAUCAUGCACUAUAAACACCUCAAAUUCUGCAGUUUGUGUCUUCCUUUCAUAUCUUUAUAGUGUGUUUGAGUAUGUGUACUAUAUUUGCAGUUUCCAUAUACACAUACAAAUCUAAUUAACUUCCUUUCUUACAUAAAAAUUUACUGAACUAUGAAGAUCAAUAUGAUCACAAUAUCAAUGUGCAUACAGAAGAGGUAAAUACAAGGCAGGAAGUUUGUUUAUACAAGGAGCCAACUAAAAAAUCAUAUAGAAUGAUCUGUGUAAUUGUACAGAACAUCUGAAUCACAUGGUGACAGAAGAUGCCUUUUUGCAGUUCCAUGUAAAAAGAACAUACAACAUACAGUUAGUGUAAUCUUCCUGAACAAGAUGCCCAGAUCAUGGACUACAACUUAUAUUAUGCCAGCAAAGAAGGGAGUGCUCGGUAAGAUAAUUUAAUAAUCUGAAAAAGAUCUGAGUUAAGAGAUGUUUAGUUACAAGAUUAGUAUAUACAAAGGAAAAAAAAUCAUAUUAUUACAAUUUAUGAAUUUAUGUCAACUUUCUCUAUUAAUUCUGCCUGUCACAAACUGGUUGAGAAGCACCUCUAUGGUGAUCAUGUGACUGCAGGAUUCUGCAAUGCUAGUUAUUGUGAAGAUUGACCACAAAGAUGUUUUUACUCUCAUCCUAAUUUCAGUUACUCCAUGAGGUAGUCAGUAAGCAAGGAUUACCUGCAUUAUAUUAUUUGUUAAUUGUUAGAAAGAAACAAUGAACUCCAAGAGUUUUUAGUCAAUGUGCAGAACAGUCUAUUUUCCCCCCACAGCAAUAAUGCACAUUAGUGGGAAACUCCACUGCAAGCAACUGAAUUCAGUUGUUCCCAAUUCACAAUUACAAGAUGGGCAGAUCCUAGAAGUAAAAACUAGAGGGACCCUGCCGACAUCAACCCAAAGUCCUUGGAAGUAAGGCAGCAUACAAGUUUAAUUAUCAACAAGUAAGAAAGUUUCUCUUGGGAAAGCAUGAGGGAAUUUCCACACAGCCACAGCUUCCCUCUUCUAACCCUGCAGAUAAUAAGUCCUUGGCUUUUACUGACGUUGAACUCCAGGAACUCACAACGAAUAUUCUCACAAGAACCUUGUGAGGUACCGUUAAGCUGAGGUGAGGCGGCGACCGACCCCAAAGCCCCUCAAUCCAUUCGACGGAUACAGAGCAGGCUCUGAAGCCCCGACAACCACACCUGCAACGCAAUAUACGUUGUGAGAAAUAGGUGGCGGAAAAAGAAAGCUCCUCAGCAGGAUCUCCUGGCGCCUGAGGGGCCACGGAGAGCACUUGGCUUAGGCAGGGCAGCCUUAUGGAGAGGUUAAAGGGGGCGUGCCCUGACGGGGGCGGCUCCCUAAGGCUCGGAAAGGGACCCUUCGCAUGAGUUCACAGAUUUCCUUACUGAUGAACUUGGAAGAUGUAUUGAAAAUGAAAGCACAGAUGGCUGAAAAAUAACAUACACAGGAAUGCCAAAGAACACAAGAAGGAACAAAAGCUUGUGACCCAGAGAAGCAAAGGAGGAAGUGCCAGUAGUAGGUCAGCACCACCUUACUAACCUCAGCUUCAUGGAACAGGAUGGAAGAUACUCAGGCCCUGAUAGGUCAAAGAAUGCAGGAUCCACUUUGAAGAAGAAGAGGUGCAUUCUGGUAAUGUGUAAAUUCCAAAAUGUGAAAAACUAAGGAUAGAACAUGCAGAUUUUGAUACGAUGUCAGAGAAUAUGUAUUAUUUUCCAGGUCUGUUCAAUGGGCUGCCAAAACUCUUCAAGUUUAUAAAUAACAGUUGUGCCAUCUAUUCAGGUGAAAAUGGAUAAAAAUGCCAGAAAAGACCUCAAAAGAUUUCUCCAGAGACAAACAAUGGAAGAAAGGAAAACAAUGUAGGAAAUUGAAAAAAUGGGAAAUGCAAGUAGUGUACUUGAAAGCUCUUUCACAAAAAGAAAACGGGAUCCUGGGAAUCAAAAAUCCUGUAUUUAAUUUUCUACAUCAAUUUUAAUUUAAUGUACUACUAUUGUUAAACUGCAUGGAGAUAUUGAUUUCAGACUUUGCCCCUUUACCAUCCCACAUUUAACAAGUUAUUUCCACAGAAAAGAUUAGAUACUGCACAGCAAGACAG